This 468-nucleotide ribosomal RNA is filed under the name uncultured bacterium. RNAcentral's name for it is "partial 16S ribosomal RNA". It matches the Rfam family "Bacterial small subunit ribosomal RNA", at positions 28 to 507 of the family's 1533-position model. The record is from RNAcentral.
GACGAACGCUGGCGGCGUGCUUAACACAUGCAAGUCGAACGGAAAGGCCCUGCUUUUGUGGGUUGCUCGAGUGGCGAACGGGUGAGUAACACGUGAGUAACCUGCCCUUGACUUUGGGAUAACUUCAGGAAACUGGGGCUAAUACCGGAUAGGAGCUCCUGCUGCAUGGUGGGGGUUGGAAAGUUUCGGCGGUUGGGGAUGGACUCGCGGCUUAUCAGCUUGUUGGUGGGGUAGUGGCUUACCAAGGCUUUGACGGGUAGCCGGCCUGAGAGGGUGACCGGCGACAUUGGGACUGAGAUACGGACCAGACUCCUACGGGAGGCAGCAGUGGGGAAUAUUGCGCAAUGGGCGGAAGCCUGAUGCAGCAACGCCGCGUGCGGGAUGACGGCCUUCGGGUUGUAAACCGCUUUCGCCUGUGACGAAGCGUGAGUGACGGUAAUGGGUAAAGAAGCACCGGCUAACUACGUG